This 540-nucleotide ribosomal RNA is filed under the name Chironemus marmoratus. RNAcentral's name for it is "partial 16S large subunit ribosomal RNA". It matches the Rfam family "Bacterial large subunit ribosomal RNA", at positions 1846 to 2586 of the family's 2925-position model. Lineage: Eukaryota; Metazoa; Chordata; Actinopteri; Centrarchiformes; Chironemidae. The record is from RNAcentral.
UAGGAGGUCCCGCCUGCCCUGUGAUAGUAAUUUAACGGCCGCGGUAUUUUGACCGUGCGAAGGUAGCGAAAUCACUUGUCUUUUAAAUGAAGACCUGUAUGAAUGGCACGACGAGGGCUUGACUGUCUCCUUUUUCAAGUCAAUGAAAUUGAUCUCCCCGUGCAGAAGCGGGGAUUAAAACAUAAGACGAGAAGACCCUAUGGAGCUUUAGACACCAGGAUAGACCAUGUUAAACACCCACGCACAAAGGACUAAACCAAAUGAGACCUACCCUAAUGUCUUUGGUUGGGGCGACCACGGGGAAACAAAAAACCCCCACGUGGAAUGGGAGUACUACUCCUAAAACCAAGAGCUCCUGCUCUAAUAAACAGAAUUUCUGACCAAAAAGAUCCGGCAAUGCCGAUCAACGAACCGAGUUACCCUAGGGAUAACAGCGCAAUCCCCUUUCAGAGCCCAUAUCGACAAGGGGGUUUACGACCUCGAUGUUGGAUCAGGACAUCCUAAUGGUGCAGCCGCUAUUAAGGGUUCGUUUGUUCAACG